GGAUAUGAUGGCGAUCUGGCUGUGACAUCUGUCAUCCUAUUGAUCGCCAGGUUGGUUUGGCUGAUCUAGCUGGCUAGGCUGCCAUUCACAACUCCCUGUGUGUUCCUUCUGAGGCUGUGUGCUCCGUCAAGAGGAUAACCAUCCCCAAAUAGAGCCAAGAGUAUAUGCCAGUAGCUUCACUUCGUGCUAGAACUGCCAAACAAGCUCUCAAGAAGGCUGAGUGGAGUGUUCUGGAAUUCUCUAGAAUCUAUCAUUGCACCUCACUGAGCCCACUUGUU
RNAcentral lists this small nuclear RNA (278 nucleotides) under Jaculus jaculus (lesser Egyptian jerboa). RNAcentral describes it as "7SK RNA (ENSJJAG00000004743.1)". It matches the Rfam family "7SK RNA". From Rfam's summary of the family: 7SK was discovered as an abundant small nuclear RNA in the mid-70s but a possible function has only recently been suggested. Two independent studies have found that 7SK RNA binds the CDK9/cyclin T complex (known as elongation factor P-TEFb). The record is from Rfam by way of RNAcentral. Lineage: Eukaryota; Metazoa; Chordata; Mammalia; Rodentia; Dipodidae.